GUAGGUGGCAAGCGUUGUCCGGAAUUAUUGGGCGUAAAGCGCGCGCAGGCGGUUCUUUAAGUCUGAUGUGAAAGCCCACGGCUCAACCGUGGAGGGUCAUUGGAAACUGGAGAACUUGAGUACAGAAGAGGAAAGCGGAAUUCCACGUGUAGCGGUGAAAUGCGUAGAGAUGUGGAGGAACACCAGUGGCGAAGGCGGCUUUCUGGUCUGUAACUGACGCUGAGGCGCGAAAGCGUGGUGAGCAAACAGGAUUAGAUACCCUGGUAGUCCACGCCGUAAACGAUGAGUGCUAAGUGUUAGGGGGUUUCCGCCCCCCUUAGUGCUGCAGCUAACGCAUUAAGCACUCCGCCCUGGGAGUACGGCCGCAAGGCUG
This 373-nucleotide ribosomal RNA is filed under the name uncultured organism. RNAcentral's name for it is "partial 16S ribosomal RNA". It matches the Rfam family "Bacterial small subunit ribosomal RNA", at positions 527 to 896 of the family's 1533-position model. The record is from RNAcentral.